CCUACGGGAGGCAGCAGUAGGGAAUCUUCCACAAUGGGCGAAAGCCUGAUGGAGCAACGCCGCGUGGGUGAAGAAGGUCUUCGGAUCGUAAAACCCUGUUGUUAGAGAAGAAAGUGCGUGAGAGUAACUGUUCACGUUUCGACGGUAUCUAACCAGAAAGCCACGGCUAACUACGUGCCAGCAGCCGCGGUAAUACGUAGGUGGCAAGCGUUAUCCGGAUUUAUUUGGCGUAAAGGGAACGCAGGCGGUCUUUUAAGUCUGAUGUGAAAGCCUUCGGCUUAACCGGAGUAGUGCAUUGGAAACGGGGAGACUUGAGUGCAGAAGAGGAGAGUGGAACUCCAUGUGUAGCGGUGAAAUGCGUAGAUAUAUGGAAGAACACCAGUGGCGAAGGCGGCUCUCUGGUCUGUAACUGACGCUGAGGUUCGAAAGCGUGGGUAGCAAACAGGAUUAGAUACCCUGGUAGUC
This 465-nucleotide ribosomal RNA is filed under the name uncultured bacterium. RNAcentral describes it as "partial 16S ribosomal RNA". It matches the Rfam family "Bacterial small subunit ribosomal RNA", at positions 338 to 795 of the family's 1533-position model. The record is from RNAcentral.